GGGUUUUUUAAUUCCAGGUUUGGUCGAAUUGCCCUUUUAAGGCAAUGGAUUUUUUUUUGUUAGAUAUAUUGCCCUUUUAAAAUGGUGUGGUGUUGGCGGAAGUGUGUGGCUGUGCAUUGUGGGGUUAGGCGUGUAUGUAUGUAUGUGUGGAGACAGGCAACAGUCGGGGACUGGGGCAAGAAAUGUAGCCGAGAGUGUUUGCUACAGAGUCAGGAGUAGCGAGGUGCAAACAUGUUGCAACAGGAGUGUUGAACAGCUACACGGCGCGGCAAGGGAGGAGAGACACUGAUACCAAGAACAACAACACAAAAAAGGACUCUAUCCCACCCUGAACUGGCAGCUUUGUAACUCUGCCUUUACAUUUCAAAGGAAGCGAAAAAGGCGGAGAGAGAGAGAGAAUCUGUGUGUGUGGAACCAGAAAAACGCCAGACCAGGAAAUUAGUCUUUCGAGCCGCGAAAGACUGCAAGAGGUUAAGUUCCACCGAAGCUGAACAUGAGUGAGAGCAGUAUCUG
Long non-coding RNA from Amblyraja radiata (thorny skate), 513 nucleotides. RefSeq lists it as uncharacterized. The transcript is spliced from 3 exons. The record is from RefSeq and is a predicted model, not a curated record. Lineage: Eukaryota; Metazoa; Chordata; Chondrichthyes; Rajiformes; Rajidae.